GACAAACUCCGAAUGCCAAUUAAUUUAACUUGGGAGUCAGAACAUGGGUGAUAAGGUCCGUGUUCGAAAGGGAAACAGCCCAGACCACCAGCUAAGGUCCCAAAAUAUAUGUUAAGUGGAAAAGGAUGUGGCGUUGCCCAGACAACUAGGAUGUUGGCUUAGAAGCAGCCAUCAUUUAAAGAGUGCGUAAUAGCUCACUAGUCGAGUGACACUGCGCCGAAAAUGUACCGGGGCUAAACAUAUUACCGAAGCUGUGGAUUGUCCUUUGGACAAUGGUAGGAGAGCGUUCUAAGGGCGUUGAAGCAUGAUCGUAAGGACAUGUGGAGCGCUUAGAAGUGAGAAUGCCGGUGUGAGUAGCGAAAGACGGGUGAGAAUCCCGUCCACCGAUUGACUAAGGUUUCCAGAGGAAGGCUCGUCCGCUCUGGGUUAGUCGGGUCCUAAGCUGAGGCCGACAGGCGUAGGCGAUGGAUAACAGGUUGAUAUUCCUGUACCACCUAUAAUCGUUUUAAUCGAUGGGGGGACGCAGUAGGAUAGGCGAAGCGUGCGAUUGGAUUGCACGUCUAAGCAGUAAGGCUGAGUAUUAGGCAAAUCCGGUACUCGUUAAGGCUGA
This 610-nucleotide ribosomal RNA is filed under the name Staphylococcus aureus. RNAcentral describes it as "partial 23S ribosomal RNA". It matches the Rfam family "Bacterial large subunit ribosomal RNA", at positions 948 to 1559 of the family's 2925-position model. Lineage: Bacteria; Bacillati; Bacillota; Bacilli; Caryophanales; Staphylococcaceae. The record is from RNAcentral.